Molecule: ribosomal RNA, 3012 nt
Filed under: Salmonella enterica subsp. enterica serovar Stanleyville
Lineage: Bacteria; Pseudomonadati; Pseudomonadota; Gammaproteobacteria; Enterobacterales; Enterobacteriaceae
Description: 23S ribosomal RNA
Rfam family: Bacterial large subunit ribosomal RNA
Source: RNAcentral
GGGUUGUGAGGUUAAGCGACUAAGCGUACACGGUGGAUGCCCUGGCAGUCAGAGGCGAUGAAGGGCGUGCUAAUCUGCGAUAAGCGCCGGUAAGGUGAUAUGAACCGUUAUAACCGGCGAUACCCGAAUGGGGAAACCCAGUGUGACUCGUCACACUAUCAUUAACUGAAUCCAUAGGUUAAUGAGGCGAACCGGGGGAACUGAAACAUCUAAGUACCCCGAGGAAAAGAAAUCAACCGAGAUUCCCCCAGUAGCGGCGAGCGAACGGGGAGGAGCCCAGAGCCUGAAUCAGCAUGUGUGUUAGUGGAAGCGUCUGGAAAGGCGCGCGAUACAGGGUGACAGCCCCGUACACAAAAGCGCAUGUGCUGUGAGCUCGAUGAGUAGGGCGGGACACGUGGUAUCCUGUCUGAAUAUGGGGGGACCAUCCUCCAAGGCUAAAUACUCCUGACUGACCGAUAGUGAACCAGUACCGUGAGGGAAAGGCGAAAAGAACCCCGGCGAGGGGAGUGAAAAAGAACCUGAAACCGUGUACGUACAAGCAGUGGGAGCACAGGUUUACCUGUGUGACUGCGUACCUUUUGUAUAAUGGGUCAGCGACUUAUAUUCUGUAGCAAGGUUAACCGAAUAGGGGAGCCGGAGGGAAACCGAGUCUUAACCGGGCGUUAAGUUGCAGGGUAUAGACCCGAAACCCGGUGAUCUAGCCAUGGGCAGGUUGAAGGUUGGGUAACACUAACUGGAGGACCGAACCGACUAAUGUUGAAAAAUUAGCGGAUGACCUGUGGCUGGGGGUGAAAGGCCAAUCAAACCGGGAGAUAGCUGGUUCUCCCCGAAAGCUAUUUAGGUAGCGCCUCGUGAACUCAUCUCCGGGGGUAGAGCACUGUUUCGGCUAGGGGGCCAUCCCGGCUUACCAACCCGAUGCAAACUGCGAAUACCGGAGAAUGUUAUCACGGGAGACACACGGCGGGUGCUAACGUCCGUCGUGAAGAGGGAAACAACCCAGACCGCCAGCUAAGGUCCCAAAGUCAUGGUUAAGUGGGAAACGAUGUGGGAAGGCCCAGACAGCCAGGAUGUUGGCUUAGAAGCAGCCAUCAUUUAAAGAAAGCGUAAUAGCUCACUGGUCGAGUCGGCCUGCGCGGAAGAUGUAACGGGGCUAAACCAUGCACCGAAGCUGCGGCAGCGAACGUAUCACCCAAGACAACUUUACGGAGUUGACGAUUGACGGAGCGAAGCGACGUCAAAGCGUAUACAAAGUCGAGUUGGCUUAGGGAUACGUUCGUUGGGUAGGGGAGCGUUCUGUAAGCCUGUGAAGGUGGCCUGUGAGGGUUGCUGGAGGUAUCAGAAGUGCGAAUGCUGACAUAAGUAACGAUAAAGCGGGUGAAAAGCCCGCUCGCCGGAAGACCAAGGGUUCCUGUCCAACGUUAAUCGGGGCAGGGUGAGUCGACCCCUAAGGCGAGGCCGAAAGGCGUAGUCGAUGGGAAACGGGUUAAUAUUCCCGUACUUGGUGUUACUGCGAAGGGGGGACGGAGAAGGCUAUGUUGGCCGGGCGACGGUUGUCCCGGUUUAAGCGUGUAGGUGUGUGUUCCAGGUAAAUCCGGUUCACUUUAACACUGAGGCGUGAUGACGAGGCACUACGGUGCUGAAGCAACAAAUGCCCUGCUUCCAGGAAAAGCCUCUAAGCAUCAGGUAACAUCAAAUCGUACCCCAAACCGACACAGGUGGUCAGGUAGAGAAUACCAAGGCGCUUGAGAGAACUCGGGUGAAGGAACUAGGCAAAAUGGUGCCGUAACUUCGGGAGAAGGCACGCUGACACGUAGGUGAAGUGAUUUACUCAUGGAGCUGAAGUCAGUCGAAGAUACCAGCUGGCUGCAACUGUUUAUUAAAAACACAGCACUGUGCAAACACGAAAGUGGACGUAUACGGUGUGACGCCUGCCCGGUGCCGGAAGGUUAAUUGAUGGGGUCAGCGCAAGCGAAGCUCCUGAUCGAAGCCCCGGUAAACGGCGGCCGUAACUAUAACGGUCCUAAGGUAGCGAAAUUCCUUGUCGGGUAAGUUCCGACCUGCACGAAUGGCGUAAUGAUGGCCAGGCUGUCUCCACCCGAGACUCAGUGAAAUUGAACUCGCUGUGAAGAUGCAGUGUACCCGCGGCAAGACGGAAAGACCCCGUGAACCUUUACUAUAGCUUGACACUGAACAUUGAGCCUUGAUGUGUAGGAUAGGUGGGAGGCUUUGAAGCGUGGACGCCAGUCUGCGUGGAGCCAACCUUGAAAUACCACCCUUUAAUGUUUGAUGUUCUAACGUGGACCCGUAAUCCGGGUUGCGGACAGUGUCUGGUGGGUAGUUUGACUGGGGCGGUCUCCUCCUAAAGAGUAACGGAGGAGCACGAAGGUUGGCUAAUCCUGGUCGGACAUCAGGAGGUUAGUGCAAUGGCAUAAGCCAGCUUGACUGCGAGCGUGACGGCGCGAGCAGGUGCGAAAGCAGGUCAUAGUGAUCCGGUGGUUCUGAAUGGAAGGGCCAUCGCUCAACGGAUAAAAGGUACUCCGGGGAUAACAGGCUGAUACCGCCCAAGAGUUCAUAUCGACGGCGGUGUUUGGCACCUCGAUGUCGGCUCAUCACAUCCUGGGGCUGAAGUAGGUCCCAAGGGUAUGGCUGUUCGCCAUUUAAAGUGGUACGCGAGCUGGGUUUAGAACGUCGUGAGACAGUUCGGUCCCUAUCUGCCGUGGGCGCUGGAGAACUGAGGGGGGCUGCUCCUAGUACGAGAGGACCGGAGUGGACGCAUCACUGGUGUUCGGGUUGUCAUGCCAAUGGCACUGCCCGGUAGCUAAAUGCGGAAGAGAUAAGUGCUGAAAGCAUCUAAGCACGAAACUUGCCCCGAGAUGAGUUCUCCCUGAGACUUUAGGUCUCCUGAAGGAACGUUGAAGACGACGACGUUGAUAGGCCGGGUGUGUAAGCGCAGCGAUGCGUUGAGCUAACCGGUACUAAUGAACCGUGAGGCUUAACCUUACAACGCCGAAG